RNAcentral lists this ribosomal RNA (456 nucleotides) under uncultured Desulfobulbus sp. RNAcentral describes it as "bacterial SSU rRNA". It matches the Rfam family "Bacterial small subunit ribosomal RNA", at positions 930 to 1382 of the family's 1533-position model. Lineage: Bacteria; Pseudomonadati; Thermodesulfobacteriota; Desulfobulbia; Desulfobulbales; Desulfobulbaceae. The record is from RNAcentral.
CGGUGGAGCAUGUGGUUUAAUUCGAUGCAACGCGAAGAACCUUACCUGGUCUUGACAUCCCGGAGACCCUUAGGAACUAGGGGUGCUUCCAUCUGGAAGAAUCUGGAGACAGGUGCUGCAUGGCUGUCGUCAGCUCGUGUCGUGAGAUGUUGGGUUAAGUCCCGCAACGAGCGCAACCCUUGCCUUUAGUUGCCAGCAGUUCGGCUGGGCACUCUAAAGGGACUGCCGGUGUUAAACCGGAGGAAGGUGGGGAUGACGUCAAGUCCUCAUGGCCUUUAUGACCAGGGCUACACACGUACUACAAUGGCCGAUACAAAGGGCAGCGACACUGCGAGGUGAAGCCAAUCCCGUAAAAUCGGUCUCAGUCCGGAUUGGAGUCUGCAACUCGACUCCAUGAAGUUGGAAUCGCUAGUAAUCGUGGAUCAGCAUGCCACGGUGAAUACGUUCCCGGGCCUU